Long non-coding RNA from Phyllostomus discolor (pale spear-nosed bat), 1296 nucleotides. RefSeq lists it as uncharacterized. The record is from RefSeq and is a predicted model, not a curated record. Lineage: Eukaryota; Metazoa; Chordata; Mammalia; Chiroptera; Phyllostomidae. The transcript has 3 exons.
UCGUGUGCCAGGCUAGACAGCUCUGGCCUUUGCUCAUUUAAUGAACAGAGCAAAGUUUACAGGUGUGUUUUUCUCAUUUUCCAGGUUAACAUGGAGCACAACUUGCAGAUGUGUUUACAAAAUAUCACCUGGAACAUUAUUUGGGAGCAGGGGGCAGGUGCUGAGCUUAUUUCUUUAUUUCUAAAGGCUUAUAUUCUCUAUGGGCAGCGGGCAGGCUGUUUAUAAGAAAAACUGCUCCAACAGAGUGCACCCAGGGCCCUUGUGGGUCUGCUUUUCCAGCGUGAGUCCACAGGAAUCCGCCCAAUGUUUCCCAAAUGGCCUCUGGGUGGACAAGGUAACUGGUUUCAUCAGAGAGCCUGUCAAAGUCCUGGAGGUGGAAACGAGUUGCCAACUGAUUUACCAUUUUCCUCAAGAUUAACAGAAGUUCCAGGUGGUUGGAAACAAGUGUAACUGGAAGUCAACUGGUGUGUCCUGGACCCUGGCUAAGCUACAAAGCUGUGCACAAAAGGUGGUGAGUUUACAUAUUAUAAGUUCUAGAACCACCUAUAGUUAGGCCCAUCUACUAUGAAGUAUCAAUACAGUAGUUCCCGCUGCACCUCCCACCCCACCCUGCCUUUAUCCAUGGUUUCACUUUCUGCAGGUUCAGUUACUCAGGUCAACCUUGGUCCAAAAAUAGUACUUGCACAUCCAACUAUGGACACCAUCAUGACUUGAUGAUCCAGGUUAACCAAAGCAGAUGAUCCUCCUUCUGAUGGAUCAUCAGAAUGUCAAUAGUAGCCUAAAGUUACAUCACAAUGCCUAUGUCACUCACUUCACUCCAUCUCAUCACAUAGACAUUGUAUCAUCUAAUGUCCUUAUAAGAAGGGUAAGUAUAAUGCAAUAAGAUAUUUGGGAGAGAAACCACAUUCACAUAACUUUUAUUACAGUAUAUUGUUAUAAUGUUCUACCUUAUUAUUCUUUAUUGUUGUUAAUCUUUUAUUGUGCCUAAUAUAUAAAUUAAACUUUGUCAUAGGUACAUAUGUAUAUGAAAAAGCAUAGUAUACAUAAAGUUUGGUACUGUCUGCAUUUUGAGGUGUCCACGGGAGUUCUUAAAACAUAUUCCCCAUGGGUAAAGGGGGACUACUAUACAGAGAAACAGCCCUACCACUAAACAUUCCCCAAACCACUCCAUCCCUACUCCUUGAAGCAGAAGGAAAGGGUGAAUAGAAAGGUUAGCUUUCUGUGAAGUAGAAUGUUCAUUAGGAUAUCCUAAUCUUUCCUUUUACCCAUCCUCACUGUCAUACCUUAUGGACAAGA